This 418-nucleotide ribosomal RNA is filed under the name Smeringopus arambourgi. Its description in RNAcentral is "partial 16S ribosomal RNA". It matches the Rfam family "Archaeal large subunit ribosomal RNA", at positions 1921 to 2660 of the family's 2987-position model. Lineage: Eukaryota; Metazoa; Arthropoda; Arachnida; Araneae; Pholcidae. The record is from RNAcentral.
CGCUUUAAGCCCUCAUUUAAAGUAAUGCCUGCUCCAUGGUUCACCUAAAUAGCCGCAGUUCAACCUGUGCUAAGGUAGCAUAAUAAUUAGCUUCAUAAUUGGAAGAUAGAAUGAAAGGCUAAACGGGCAACUUCUGUCUCAUCUAUAAUAAUUAACUUUAUAAUUUAGUCAAAAAGCUAAUAACAAAUUAUAGGACGACAAGACCCCGACAAACUAAAUUUUUAGUUGGGGCAACACAACAAUAAAACCUUAUCAUAUAACACAAAACUAAAAACUUUAAUAUAGACUAGUUACUGCGGGGAUAACAGCGCAAUUUUUCAAAAAGCUCUCAUUAAAAAAAAAGAUUACGACCUCGAUGUUGAAUUAGUCUAUCUAUGUGGCGCAAAAGCUACAAAAGUACGGUCUGUUCGACCAAAAA